Bombus huntii is the source of this 405-nucleotide long non-coding RNA. RefSeq lists it as uncharacterized. The record is from RefSeq and is a predicted model, not a curated record. Lineage: Eukaryota; Metazoa; Arthropoda; Insecta; Hymenoptera; Apidae. The transcript has 3 exons.
GAAGAAGGAAGCGGUGAUGGCCGGCGGCUGCUUUCGCAGAAGUAUAUCGAUCGGCUUCGGUGCUGACACGCAAAGUUGGCUGCUACGACAUAUAUGAUUCGAGCAACAUUCCGGAUCCGCGCAAUCGAUGAGACCGUCUGGAAAAGUAUAGUAAUGGGUUCUUUAUAUCGGAGACUAAUGGCUCUAAAUGGCUGGCAUAAGCCACACCCAUGAUUUAGAGCUCGAAGUAAUAUGAAAAUGAAACGCGAAAACACGAAGUUCUGUUCAAGAAGCACGUUGCAGUCCUUGCCAUCCCAGCCAUCGUAACACCUGCAUUCCCAUUGACCAUCGUUGCCGACUCUACACUGUCCGUGUCCAGAGCAGGAAUUCGGGCAACCUUCCAUGGUGCAGUGUUUUCCAUUCCAA